RNAcentral lists this long non-coding RNA (606 nucleotides) under Homo sapiens (human). Its description in RNAcentral is "HSALNT0382660". The record is from RNAcentral. Lineage: Eukaryota; Metazoa; Chordata; Mammalia; Primates; Hominidae.
AUUUACUAGGAAGGUGGGACGUUGGAGGGGUGGCCGCAUGGAGUGAGUACUGUCUCUGGCCACCGAGCAGAGCCAGUGACAGCAGCGUCCUGGUAGGCAGGCAGGCGUAUCAGGUUUCAGAGGAUGCGGCUGGGAACGGGAGUAGAGGUAUAUGAGCUCCCUGAAAGCACAAAGCAGUUAUUUCCAUCUUCAGAUCAUUCAGAGAUUAUGAAGGCACAAACCCUGCCUUCAAUUUGCUUAUAGUCAAGUGGAGCAGACACAAGUCAAUGAUUGCAGUAUAGCCACUGAAGUAAUCUAAAAGAGACUUAUCAGCAGGUUGCAGGUGAACAUGGCCUUGAGGUAAAUCUGUCCCUUGCUGAAUACAGUUUCAGUAGAUUGUUUAUAGUAGUUUCAGGAAUUGAGAUUUUUUACAAAAAUACAAAAGUUUUGCUUGGUUCUGUUCUAGAUGUUUUCUUCUAAAUAAAUGAGAAAGAUGUUUCAACAAAGGCUCUUUAUGCUGAAUAAUUGUGAUGCUUGAAGUUGCUAAUCUGCUUUAAGUGGAUUUUAAAUGUCAGGCAAUUCUAGACAGUUUUUUCUUGGUCAAAUAAAAAUUUAAUUAAAACUUUA